This 559-nucleotide ribosomal RNA is filed under the name uncultured bacterium. RNAcentral's name for it is "bacterial SSU rRNA". It matches the Rfam family "Bacterial small subunit ribosomal RNA", at positions 338 to 917 of the family's 1533-position model. The record is from RNAcentral.
CCUACGGGAGGCAGCAGUGGGGAAUAUUGGACAAUGGGCGCAAGCCUGAUCCAGCAAUGCCGCGUGAGUGAUGAAGGCCUUAGGGUCGUAAAGCUCUUUUACCAGGGAUGAUAAUGACAGUACCUGGAGAAUAAGCUCCGGCUAACUCCGUGCCAGCAGCCGCGGUAAUACGGAGGGAGCUAGCGUUGUUCGGAAUUACUGGGCGUAAAGCGUACGUAGGCGGUUAUUCAAGUCAGAGGUGAAAGCCCGGGGCUCAACCCCGGAACGGCCUUUGAAACUAGGUAGCUAGAAUCUUGGAGAGGUCAGUGGAAUUCCGAGUGUAGAGGUGAAAUUCGUAGAUAUUCGGAAGAACACCAGUGGCGAAGGCGACUGACUGGACAAGUAUUGACGCUGAGUACGAAAGCGUGGGGAGCAAACAGGAUUAGAUACCCUGGUAGUCCACGCCGUAAACGAUGAUAACUAGCUGUUCGGGCACUUGGUGCUUGAGUGGCGCAGCUAACGCAUUAAGUAUCCGCCUGGGAGUACGGUCGCAAGAUUAAAACUCAAAGGAAUUGAACGG